Ochotona princeps (American pika) is the source of this 177-nucleotide small nuclear RNA. Its record names the gene U2. It matches the Rfam family "U2 spliceosomal RNA". From Rfam's summary of the family: U2 is a small nuclear RNA (snRNA) component of the spliceosome (involved in pre-mRNA splicing). Complementary binding between U2 snRNA (in an area lying towards the 5' end but 3' to hairpin I) and the branchpoint sequence (BPS) of the intron results the bulging out of an unpaired adenosine, on the BPS, which initiates a nucleophilic attack at the intronic 5' splice site, thus starting the first of two transesterification reactions that mediate splicing. The record is from Ensembl. NCBI's taxonomy places the organism in Eukaryota, Metazoa, Chordata, Mammalia, Lagomorpha, Ochotonidae.
AUCGCUUCUCGGCCUUUUGGCUAAGAUCAAGUGUGAACACUGCCCUUAAAUUGUGGCUCUGAACCAGUGGCCCCAACAUCAACAGUUGCUGAUUGGAAGCGCACACCUCUGGGUCAACCACAGCUCUCCCGACUGCACAGCUGCAUGUUCACAGCCUGCAGGUGGUGCCUACGUGCA